UGGGGAAUUUUGGACAAUGGGCGAAAGCCUGAUCCAGCAAUGCCGCGUGUGUGAAGAAGGCCUUCGGGUUGUAAAGCACUUUUGUCCGGAAAGAAAUCCUUGGCUCUAAUACAGUCGGGGGGAUGACGGUACCGGAAGAAUAAGCACCGGCUAACUACGUGCCAGCAGCCGCGGUAAUACGUAGGGUGCAAGCGUUAAUCGGAAUUACUGGGCGUAAAGCGUGCGCAGGCGGUUUGCUAAGACCGAUGUGAAAUCCCCGGGCUCAACCUGGGAACUGCAUUGGUGACUGGCAGGCUAGAGUAUGGCAGAGGGGGGUAGAAUUCCACGUGUAGCAGUGAAAUGCGUAGAGAUGUGGAGGAAUACCGAUGGCGAAGGCAGCCCCCUGGGCCAAUACUGACGCUCAUGCACGAAAGCGUGGGGGAGCAAACAGGAUUAGAUACCCUGGUAGUCCACGCCCUAAACGAUGUCAACUAGUUGUUGGGGAUUCAUUUCCUUAGUAACGUAGCUAACGCGUGAAGUUGACCGCCUGGGGAGUACGGUCGCAAGAUUAAAACUCAAAUGAAUUGACGGGGUC
Molecule: ribosomal RNA, 574 nt
Filed under: uncultured bacterium
Lineage: Bacteria
Description: partial 16S ribosomal RNA
Rfam family: Bacterial small subunit ribosomal RNA
Source: RNAcentral